AUAUAUAUAUACAUAUAUAUAUGUUAUGUAAGAUUUGUAAAGAUAGAAGGAAUCAAUAAUAAUAAGAGAAAGAAGAAAAUUUACAGAAAAAGAUAGUAAAAACAGAUAGCACAUUGCGAUCUUAAGAAUCUAUUAAUAUUUGUCACGUAAUAAUGUGUCGACUCGACUUUUUACUUCAUCGACGAAAUUAGGUACAACUGUAAUGAAAAAGAAAAUGAGCAGUAAAUGACGCGAGUGAUAUUGCUCAUAAAGUUCAUUAUCGCAUAACCGGUCGAUUACUGCUUCGCAAAACGAACGGACUCAUAUGUGAUUCGACGUGAAUGAACAAUAACAUAAUGAUGAUCGAUUAAAUCGCAUUAAAGCAUGAUUAAAUUAAUUUUACGAACAUCGAUAAUUGCUACAAUAAUAUAAAAUCGAUAAAGACCGAUUCGUCAACGGCACGAUCUACUUAUAAGACCGAAACUGAUCUUUUUUGUGUCGAUUACACCUUUGAAUGCACAUCGACACGAUUCGAUCUAUCAACGAACAACGACGAAUACUUUUCCAUUAAAACGAUAUUGUGAAGAAAGUCUACGAGCCACAAUCUUCUACGCCACAAGCACGAGAAAUGUACAGCGCUGAAGAACAAGAAAACAAUAUAAAUAAAAUAAACAUGAUUUCCAAUGUUAAGAGUUUAAUAUAUAAGCGGAUAAAGUUCAAUUACUUUUUUCACGAGAGAACAAACAUUCGUGUCAAUUGGUCACGAUCGACUAAUAAACAAAAAAAUCUUCAAAUUGCAAUAAAACGUGUACAUAGAUUAAUGAUACAGAGAUGAAAAAAACGUAUAAAGACUUUAAACACCCGUAUAAAAAUCUAAAUCCCUCGAUUUUGAGGUCCUGCUUCGGUAAUAGAAAGGUACCAAGAUGCAGCGAUGAAAAAAAGAAGAGAAAAGUUACUACUAUAAAGUAUACGAUGAUUACGGAAUUAAAGAACUAAAACUGUUUAACUAAUUUUAGAACGUGAAAGAAAAGUGAUGAAUCUAAUGCAACUCAUACAUAACAAAAAAUCGAGAUUGUAUAGGGAAUGGAACGAGAACCAAUUUAUAAUAUUAAUUUCUGAAUAUCAAUUAUUAAGUGCUAAUAAUUGAUUAAUUUAUUUCAGGGCUUACGAUUCUGUGAUUGUACAAGUCUCUUCAUCUUUUAUCAAUGACUCUACUUGACUUUUAUCUUCCAAAGUAACAACUUUUUUCGACUUUUUUCAUUCAAAACCAAUAACUUCAUCGAGACUUUUCUUUUGCUUGCAAAGUUGAUUAAAUAUCUGAUUAAUUUUUAUUUAAUAAUGUAAUAAAAAAGAAAGUUUCGACGUUUAGUAGCCGAAAUUCCAAAGGAAGCUGAUAGGGCAAGCGUUAAAGACAAUCAAGAGUCCGUUUUCGUUAACAUAACAAGUAGCCAAUGAUCGCAUACUUCAAAUUUUGAAAUAUUGUAAGUUUAAAUAGAUUUUGUUUUGUGUUUAUCGCCUGUUACAAACUUUGUAAUGUUUAAUCGAUGUACUAUUGUUUAUGCUGAAUUUGAUCACGUUAAUCUUAUUUUGUUUUACCAAACAAUUUAAUUAUUUGGAUAAAAAGAAGAAGCUAAUCACGUAUAUACGUAUUAGCCAUAUUCAAGAAAGAAAAAAGUAACUUGUAAGUCAGUAAAAUAGAUCGAUUUGUCACAAUCUAUAUAUAAAAAUAUACCUCCGACGGAUUACAAAUAAAUUAUAGAACUUUUCAUCCACGUGGAACGAUCAUAUUAUAUAUAUCGUAAUGUGGAAGAAAUAUCGAUGCUUUUCAAUAGAAAUAUUUAUACAAACGUAUUCAAUUGAUAAAUCAAAGGUAGAUAUUAUAUACAUGGGUAUAUAUAUUUAUGGAGAUGUAUUAAUAUACGAUAGAAAAUUGAAAAGCAUCGUUCCAUCUUUACGUUCGACAGAAUGAUUAUUCGUACGGCAAUGGAACGAGACGAAUAAAAGACAAGAAAGCAAAAAAAAGAAAAACAACAAUCUUCCAAUAGAAAAUAGAACAAGAAGAAGAAGAAUAAAGAGAAACAAUAGCAAGAAAGCGAAUAAUUAAAUAGUUUCCCGGGCUUUUAGUCGAAUUAUUUUUGUCAACUAUGAUUAUGUAGUAAUCCGAUUACACAGCGAACGCGUGAAUAUCCAAGCAAUUCAUACGAUAGCAGAAUUCUCUCGAGGAUUCAACAGACUUUCCCUUCCUUUCCCUUUUUAUUACUUACUCACUGACUCAUUUGCUCUCUUUCUCCUUAUAUCUAUCUAUCUCUCUUUCAUACUUAAUAUUUCACUUUUGAUCGAAGAAAACGAGUUCGCUGAUUCUUUCCACGUGCGUGCAAUCGCGAAGAACUUCCAAUCGAUUUUUUAUUUCAUUUGAUUUGAGAGAGAGAGAAAGAGAAUAUGUUGAAAGUUCUUUCUGAUGCCUUUUUUGUUACCUCUUUUUCCUUCCUAUCUGUUAUAGAGCCCACCAAUCAACUAAUCCACCUCCUAUCUCCUAGUUCCCCCGUUUCCUCAACCACUCUACCGUUUGCCGCAUUUGAAGAGAAUUUAACAUUUAUUAUUCUUCGUCGACCUUUAAUUAGUCUUACUUUGCUCAAUUCUGUUCAUUACCCCUGGUUUUUUAAUGGAUUACGCCAUAAAAAUAUUAUAAAAUAAUUUUUGACUAAUUUUAAUGAACAAGCUCGCAUUUUAAAAACGAAGGUUUAAUAUACAGCGUAUUGAUAUCAAAUAUUUGAAAAAUGCUUUUUCUUCAAAAAAAUAUCGUGUUAAAAAGUGAUAUUUUUCGAAAUUAAUAUCCACAAAUAAAUACUUUUUAUAAAAAUUUGAAGCCAAUACACUGUAAAUUAAACUUUUAUCUUUAAUAUGAAAUCUUGUUCAUCAAAAUUAGUCAUG
This is a long non-coding RNA of Vespa mandarinia (Asian giant hornet), 2910 nucleotides long. The record is from RefSeq and is a predicted model, not a curated record. Lineage: Eukaryota; Metazoa; Arthropoda; Insecta; Hymenoptera; Vespidae.